GAUAUCCAUAAUUUAUGGUACAAAUUGAUACAAAUUGAUAAUAGGUUAGGUAAAUGUUCCAUGAUAAUGGGUUAGGUAAAUGUUUCAUGAUAAUAGGUUAGGUAAAUGUUCCAUGAUAAUGGGUUAGGUAAAUGUUUCAUGAUAAUGGGUUAGGUAAAUGUUUCAUGAUAAGAAUAUCAUGUCUUUUGUAUUAAAGAAUUAAAUGGAUGAAAUAUGAAGUUUUAUUAAAAGAAAAAGGGGUGAAAAGAACAAAGUUUUGUCCAUCUUUGUUCAUCAUAGCUGAAAGUUAGAGAAGAGAAGGAGAGGAGAAAGCUCUUGAGUAUUCGGUCAUUAGGAGGAGGAAAAUUGAAGGAAAUCCCCAACCAUAGUGGGCUUGGAGCUGUGAGGGAAUUCGGAGUGGCCACCCGUUCUGAAAGUUUGAUUUUCUUCUGGUGAACUGGACAUCCUUUUAUUUACAUUUGAAGUUUUUGGGCUUUUAAAUGUAAUAAGGCCGCUUAAUUAUUUUUGAUGGUUUUAAUAUGUAUUACUAAGAUAGGUAAUACUUAUAUUUAACUGUUGAAACUGGAUAGCUUUAGGGCGCGUUUUCAAAAACAACAGUUGAUUUCAAAAUAACACGACAACAAGCAAAGCUUCCGCAAUGAAA
This is a long non-coding RNA of Gossypium arboreum, 643 nucleotides long. RefSeq lists it as uncharacterized. The transcript has 2 exons. The record is from RefSeq and is a predicted model, not a curated record. NCBI's taxonomy places the organism in Eukaryota, Viridiplantae, Streptophyta, Magnoliopsida, Malvales, Malvaceae.